Molecule: microRNA precursor, 109 nt
Organism: Sorghum bicolor (sorghum)
Lineage: Eukaryota; Viridiplantae; Streptophyta; Magnoliopsida; Poales; Poaceae
Rfam family: MIR5565 microRNA precursor family
Source: Rfam
GUAGUCGGAUUCAUAUCAAUCCACAUGUGUUGGAGUGGGUUGAAGUAGAAAUUGAACUAAAUUCUACCACAAUCCACUCCGACACAUGUGGAUUGAGGUGAAUCCGAUA